This 253-nucleotide ribosomal RNA is filed under the name uncultured bacterium. RNAcentral's name for it is "partial 16S ribosomal RNA". It matches the Rfam family "Bacterial small subunit ribosomal RNA", at positions 524 to 776 of the family's 1533-position model. The record is from RNAcentral.
UACAGUGGGUGCAAACGUUGCUCGGAAUCAUUGGGCGUAAAGCGCACGUAGGCGGUUCGUUAUGUCGGAUGUGAAAGCCCUUGGCUUAACCGAGGAAGUGCAUCCGAAACUGGCGAGCUAGAGUACGAAAGAGGAUCGCGGAAUUCCCGGUGUAGAGGUGAAAUUCGUAGAUAUCGGGAGGAACACCGGUGGCGAAGGCGGCGAUCUGGGUCGAUACUGACGCUGAGGUGCGAAAGCGUGGGGAGCAAGCGGG